UCAGCAUGGAGUUUUACAUUAAGAUCCAAAGGGCAAACAAUAGGAGAAACAUUCAUACAGUCAAACUGAUGCAAUAGGUCAGAAACAUACUUAUGCUGAUUAAGGAGCAUCCCACCAGGAACUACAAACAUCUCAAUGCCCAGAAAAUAAUGCAAAGACCCAAGGUCUUUGAUCCUGAACUGAUGCAUACUUAUGGUGAUAAAGGAGCAUCCCACUAGGAACAACAGACAUCUCAAUGCCCAUAAAAUAAUGCAAAGACCCAAGGUCUUUGAUCCUGAACUGAUCAUCCAGAAACAGCUUCAGGGCAGAAAGCUCAUCAUUGUCAU
This 326-nucleotide long non-coding RNA is filed under the name Nicotiana benthamiana. Its description in RNAcentral is "long non-coding RNA (NBEN_LNC018381)". Lineage: Eukaryota; Viridiplantae; Streptophyta; Magnoliopsida; Solanales; Solanaceae. The record is from RNAcentral.